This 71-nucleotide transfer RNA is filed under the name Marmota marmota marmota (Alpine marmot). It matches the Rfam family "tRNA". Rfam says of the family: Transfer RNA (tRNA) molecules are approximately 80 nucleotides in length. Their secondary structure includes four short double-helical elements and three loops (D, anti-codon, and T loops). The record is from Rfam by way of RNAcentral. Lineage: Eukaryota; Metazoa; Chordata; Mammalia; Rodentia; Sciuridae. RNAcentral also lists the same sequence under 1 other name.
GUGGUUGUGACUUAGUGGUAGAGUGCGUGCCUAGCAUGCGUGAGGCACUGGGUUCAAUCCUCAGCACCACA